ACCGAGGUGGUGGAAUUGGCAGACACGCUACCUUGAGGUGGUAGUGCCUCUAAGGUCUACGGGUUCGAGUCCCGUCCUCGGUA
Molecule: transfer RNA, 83 nt
Filed under: Candidatus Ishikawaella capsulata Mpkobe
Lineage: Bacteria; Pseudomonadati; Pseudomonadota; Gammaproteobacteria; Enterobacterales; Enterobacteriaceae
Description: tRNA-Leu (GAG) (tRNA-Leu-GAG-1-1)
Rfam family: tRNA
About the family: Transfer RNA (tRNA) molecules are approximately 80 nucleotides in length. Their secondary structure includes four short double-helical elements and three loops (D, anti-codon, and T loops).
Source: Rfam by way of RNAcentral